CUGUGUUUCCGCCUCUGUCCCGUAUUUCUCCUCGGCUUUGGCCAGGUCAUAUGUUCCCUUUCUACGGGAAGGAAAGUGAAGAGCGGCCCACUUCCAGAAGCUCUUCAUCGUUCUCCCUCCAUCGGUAUCAAGAGCACCAACCGGCGCCGGUUGACGGUUCUCCGUCAUGAUGGGGGAGUCUUUGGGUUGUACACACAGGGUUCUCCUACACACUCCAAACCAGUCGCUUUUUUUAGUCUUGAAAGCAGUCCCACGAUAACACCGUUUGUCAGUCGCUAACAGUCGCUACCAAAUACGUUACUCCCAAGACUUCAAAGCACCAAAUGAGCAAGUGAUUUUCAUGCCUUUAUAUACCUUCAUGGCCGAAUUGUGACGUCAUAAAUUCCCGCGCGUAAUGGAAUACAAAAAAGAAAAAAAAAAGAAAAUACGUCAUCUGGUCCUUUCAAACGAUAACAUCCAAUGAUGUUCAAUGUUAACGACAAUUUGUUGUAUCGUGUACAUCGCGGGUUAUUUCUUCUUCUUACCCUUGUCCAGGAUGUCCUGCACGAGCUGUUCCUCAGUAGAGAGGACUUCCUCUCUCC
This is a long non-coding RNA of Carassius auratus (goldfish), 581 nucleotides long. RefSeq lists it as uncharacterized. The transcript has 3 exons. The record is from RefSeq and is a predicted model, not a curated record. NCBI's taxonomy places the organism in Eukaryota, Metazoa, Chordata, Actinopteri, Cypriniformes, Cyprinidae.